RNAcentral lists this unclassified non-coding RNA (252 nucleotides) under Pleosporormiella terricola. Its description in RNAcentral is "Preussia terricola partial internal transcribed spacer region". The stretch from base 1 to 46 matches the Rfam family "Eukaryotic small subunit ribosomal RNA", at positions 1786 to 1831 of the family's 1831-position model. Lineage: Eukaryota; Fungi; Ascomycota; Dothideomycetes; Pleosporales; Sporormiaceae. The record is from RNAcentral.
AAGUCGUAACAAGGUUUCCGUAGGUGAACCUGCGGAAGGAUCAUUAUCGUGGGGCUUCGGCCCCGUCGAGAUAGCACCCUUGCCUUUAUGAGUACCUUGGUUCCCUCCCCCGUACCCUCGGGGAGCGGGAGGGACCUCGUCUGUUUCCCCAUCGGUAACCCCGCGGGGACACGAAACACGCUGUAAGCACCUGUAACAGUCUGAUAAACAAACAAAAAAUCAAAACUUUCAACAACGGAUCUCUUGGUUCUG